UACGUAGGGUGCGAGCGUUAAUCGGAAUUACUGGGCGUAAAGGGUGCGCAGGCGGUUUGCCAAGUCUGACGUGAAAGCCCCGGGCUUAACCUGGGAACGGCGUUGGAAACUGGUAGACUUGAGUGCGGCAGAGGGGGGUAGAAUUCCACGUGUAGCAGUGAAAUGCGUAGAUAUGUGGAGGAAUACCGAUGGCGAAGGCAGCCCCCUGGGUUGACACUGACGCUCAUGCACGAAAGCGUGGGUAGCAAACAGG
This 253-nucleotide ribosomal RNA is filed under the name uncultured bacterium. RNAcentral's name for it is "partial 16S ribosomal RNA". It matches the Rfam family "Bacterial small subunit ribosomal RNA", at positions 524 to 776 of the family's 1533-position model. The record is from RNAcentral.